Molecule: ribosomal RNA, 301 nt
Filed under: uncultured bacterium
Lineage: Bacteria
Description: partial 16S ribosomal RNA
Rfam family: Bacterial small subunit ribosomal RNA
Source: RNAcentral
CAGCAGCCGCGGUAAUACGUAGGUCCCGAGCGUUGUCCGGAUUUAUUGGGCGUAAAGCGAGCGCAGGCGGUUAGAUAAGUCUGAUGUGAAAGCCCACGGCUCAACCGUGGAGGGUCAUUGGAAACUGUUAAACUUGAGUGCAGGAGAGAAAAGUGGAAUUCCUAGUGUAGCGGUGAAAUGCGUAGAGAUUAGGAGGAACACCAGUGGCGAAGGCGGCUUUUUGGCCUGUAACUGACACUGAGGCGCGAAUGCGCGGGGAGCAAACAGGAUUAGAUACCCCGGUAGUCCCUGUCUCUUAUAC